RNAcentral lists this long non-coding RNA (211 nucleotides) under Daucus carota (carrot). Its description in RNAcentral is "long non-coding RNA (DCAR_LNC007728)". Lineage: Eukaryota; Viridiplantae; Streptophyta; Magnoliopsida; Apiales; Apiaceae. The record is from RNAcentral.
UGUGUAAAACUCAUCACCCUUCCCAGACCCUGCUGAAUGAUUUUGGCUUGGUUCCUUGUCUGCACUCACACUAGUAGCAAUUAGAUGGAAUGAAUGAGAGAAUGAAGAAUUGAUUAUUACUAGCCACUACCUAUCGAGUUUUUAUUCGUUAAAACCAGUUUGAGGUUUUUAUUGGUAAGUAAACUUUGUAAAAAGACUAUAAAGUAUAGAG